RNAcentral lists this ribosomal RNA (507 nucleotides) under Ascochyta rabiei. Its description in RNAcentral is "eukaryotic LSU rRNA". The stretch from base 133 to 286 matches the Rfam family "5.8S ribosomal RNA". The record is from RNAcentral. Lineage: Eukaryota; Fungi; Ascomycota; Dothideomycetes; Pleosporales; Didymellaceae.
UAGUGGGCUUUGCCUGCUAUCUCUUACCCAUGUCUUUUGAGUACUUACGUUUCCUCGGCGGGUCCGCCCGCCGAUUGGACAAAAUUAAACCCUUUGCAGUUGCAAUCAGCGUCUGAAAAACUUAAUAGUUACAACUUUCAACAACGGAUCUCUUGGUUCUGGCAUCGAUGAAGAACGCAGCGAAAUGCGAUAAGUAGUGUGAAUUGCAGAAUUCAGUGAAUCAUCGAAUCUUUGAACGCACAUUGCGCCCCUUGGUAUUCCAUGGGGCAUGCCUGUUCGAGCGUCAUUUGUACCUUCAAGCCUUGCUUGGUGUUGGGUGUUUGUCUCGCCUCUGCGUGUAGACUCGCCUCAAAACAAUUGGCAGCCGGCGUAUUGAUUUCGGAGCGCAGUACAUCUCGCGCUUUGCACUCAGAACGACGACGUCCAAAAGUACAUUUUUACACUCUUGACCUCGGAUCAGGUAGGGAUACCCGCUGAACUUAAGCAUAUCAAAAGGCCGGAGGAAGA